Molecule: transfer RNA, 69 nt
Filed under: Marmota monax (woodchuck)
Lineage: Eukaryota; Metazoa; Chordata; Mammalia; Rodentia; Sciuridae
Description: tRNA.Thr
Source: RNAcentral
GAGUUGUAGCCCAGUGGUAGAGGGCUUGCCUUGUAUGUGUGAGGCACUGCGUUCGAUUCCAGAAGCUCA